AGAGUUUGAUCAUGGCUCAGGACGAACGCUGACGGUGUGCUUUAGGCAUGCAAGUCGUACGAGAAAGCCCUUCGGGGUGAGUACAGUGGCGAACGGGUGAGUAACACGUGGGCAACCUGCCCCUCGCAGGGGGAUAACCGGAGGAAACUCCGGCUAAUACCCCGUAAGCUUUCAGGGUCGCAUGGCCCUGUAAGGAAAGGUAGCUUCGGCCAUCCGGCGAGGGAUGGGCCCGCGGUGCAUUAGCUAGUUGGUGGGGUAACGGCCCACCAAGGCGACGAUGCGUAGCUGGUCUGAGAGGAUGAUCAGCCACACUGGGACUGAGACACGGCCCAGACUCCUACGGGAGGCAGCAGCCAGGAAUCUUGGGCAAUGGGCGCAAGCCUGACCCAGCAACACCGUGUGGGCGAUGAAGGCCUUCGGGUCGUAAAGCCCUGUUGAUAGGGACGAAGGGUGAAGGGUUAAUAGCCCCUAGCCUGACGGUACCUUUCGAGGAAGCCCCGGCUAACUACGUGCCAGCAGCCGCGGUAAUACGUAGGGGGCGAGCGUUGUCCGGAAUUAUUGGGCGUAAAGAGCGUGUAGGCGGUUCGGUAAGUCUGCCGUGAAAACCUGAGGCUCAACCUCGGGCGUGCGGUGGAUACUGCCGGGCUAGAGGAUGGUAGAGGCGAGUGGAAUUCCCGGUGUAGCGGUGAAAUGCGCAGAUAUCGGGAGGAACACCAGUAGCGAAGGCGGCUCGCUGGGCCGUUCCUGACGCUGAGACGCGAAAGCUAGGGGAGCGAACAGGAUUAGAUACCCCAGUAGUCC
RNAcentral lists this ribosomal RNA (801 nucleotides) under uncultured Rubrobacter sp. RNAcentral describes it as "bacterial SSU rRNA". It matches the Rfam family "Bacterial small subunit ribosomal RNA", at positions 8 to 796 of the family's 1533-position model. Lineage: Bacteria; Bacillati; Actinomycetota; Rubrobacteria; Rubrobacterales; Rubrobacteraceae. The record is from RNAcentral.